CUAACCCUAAUCUGAGAAGGGUGUAGGCGUCCUCGCCCAGUUUCUGUUGCCAACUUUCACUGGGUGAGACAGCCUCAGCUACUGUCCUCCAGCCUGGAGUAAAGAAAACAUGUCACCCUG
This is an unclassified non-coding RNA of Myotis lucifugus (little brown bat), 120 nucleotides long. Its record names the gene Telomerase-vert. It matches the Rfam family "Vertebrate telomerase RNA". Rfam says of the family: Telomerase is a ribonucleoprotein reverse transcriptase that synthesises telomeric DNA. Telomerase RNAs differ greatly in sequence and structure between vertebrates, ciliates and yeasts, but they share a 5' pseudoknot structure close to the template sequence. The record is from Ensembl. Lineage: Eukaryota; Metazoa; Chordata; Mammalia; Chiroptera; Vespertilionidae.